UCCCUUGUAGCUCAGUUGGUAAAGAAUCUGCCUGGAGUGCAGGAGACCUGGGUUCAAUCCCUGGGUUGGGAA
Bos taurus (domestic cattle) is the source of this 72-nucleotide non-coding RNA. Lineage: Eukaryota; Metazoa; Chordata; Mammalia; Artiodactyla; Bovidae. The record is from Rfam.